Molecule: ribosomal RNA, 508 nt
Filed under: uncultured bacterium
Lineage: Bacteria
Description: partial 16S ribosomal RNA
Rfam family: Bacterial small subunit ribosomal RNA
Source: RNAcentral
GACGAACGCUGGCGGCGUGCUUAACACAUGCAAGUCGAACGGGCCUUGUCCCCUUUUUUUUUGGGGGUGGGGUUAGUGGCGAACGGGUGAGUAACACGUGAGUAACCUGCCCCUCACUUCUGGAUAACCGCUUGAAAGGGUGGCUAAUACGGGGUGUUCUGGCCUGCUCGCAUGGGUGGGUUUGGAAAGAUUCGACCGGUUUUGGUUGUUUUGGUGGGGGAUGGGCUCGCGGCCUGUCAGCUUGUUGGUGGGGUGAGGGCCUGCCAAGGCUUUGACGGGUUGCCGGCCUGAGAGGGUGGGCGGUCACACUGGGACUGAGACACGGCCCAGACUCCUACGGGAGGCAGCAGUGGGGAAUAUGGCACAAUGGGCGCAAGCCUGAUGCAGCGACGCCGCGUGAGGGAUGGAGGCCGUCGGGUUGUGAACCUCUUUCGCCAGUGAAGAAGGUCCUGCUCUUUGUGGUGGGGUUGACGGUAGCUGGGUUAAUGAAGCGCCGGCUAACUACGUG